UACGAGAGUGGCAGACGGGUGAGUACACGUGGGAACCUUCCCUUUGGUUCGGAAUAGCCCAGGGAAACUUGGGGUAAUACCGGAUAAGCCCUUACGGGGAAAGAUUUAUCGCCGAAGGAUGGGCCCGCGUCGGAUUAGCUAGUUGGUGGGGUAACGGCCUACCAAGGCGACGAUCCGUAGCUGGUCUGAGAGGAUGAUCAGCCACACUGGGACUGAGACACGGCCCAGACUCCUACGGGAGGCAGCAGUAGGGAAUAUUGGACAAUGGGCGCAAGCCUGAUCCAGCCAUGCCGCGUGAGUGACGAAGGCCUUCGGGUUGUAAAGCUCUUUAGGCGGGGACGAUAAUGACGGUACCCGCAGAAUAAGCUCCGGCUAACUUCGUGCCAG
RNAcentral lists this ribosomal RNA (387 nucleotides) under uncultured Pedomicrobium sp. RNAcentral describes it as "bacterial SSU rRNA". It matches the Rfam family "Bacterial small subunit ribosomal RNA", at positions 88 to 511 of the family's 1533-position model. Lineage: Bacteria; Pseudomonadati; Pseudomonadota; Alphaproteobacteria; Hyphomicrobiales; Hyphomicrobiaceae. The record is from RNAcentral.